Molecule: ribosomal RNA, 486 nt
Filed under: uncultured bacterium
Lineage: Bacteria
Description: partial 16S ribosomal RNA
Rfam family: Bacterial small subunit ribosomal RNA
Source: RNAcentral
AUUGAACGCUGGCGGCAUGCUUUACACAUGCAAGUCGAGCGGCAGCGCGGGGGCAACCCUGGCGGCGAGCGGCGAACGGGUGAGUAAUGCAUCGGAACGUAUCCUCUAGUGGGGGAUAACCCAGCGAAAGAUGGGCUAAUACCGCAUGAGCUCUGAGGAGGAAAGCGGGGGACCUGCGAGGGCCUCGCGCUGGAGGAGCGGCCGAUGUCCGAUUAGCUAGUUGGUGGGGUAAAGGCUUACCAAGGCGACGAUCGGUAGCUGGUCUGAGAGGAUGAUCAGCCACACUGGGACUGAGACACGGCCCAGACUCCUACGGGAGGCAGCAGUGGGGAAUUUUGGACAAUGGGGGCAACCCUGAUCCAGCCAUGCCGCGUGAGUGAAGAAGGCCUUCGGGUUGUAAAGCUCUUUCGGACGGAACGAAAUGGGCGGGACUAAUACUCCUGUCUGAUGACGGUACCGUAAGAAGAAGCACCGGCUAACUACGUG